GAGAAAUUCCAAUCGAACUUGGAGAUAGCUGGUUCUCUCCGAAAUAGCUUUAGGGCUAGCCUCGAGGUAAAGAGUCAUGGAGGUAGAGCACUGUUUGGACUAGGGGCCCUUCUCGGGUUACCGAAUUCAGAUAAACUCCGAAUGCCAUGUACUUAUACUCGGGAGUCAGACUGCGAGUGAUAAGAUCCGUAGUCGAAAGGGAAACAGCCCAGACCACCAG
Molecule: non-coding RNA, 220 nt
Filed under: Aurantimonas sp. 22II-16-19i
Lineage: Bacteria; Pseudomonadati; Pseudomonadota; Alphaproteobacteria; Hyphomicrobiales; Aurantimonadaceae
Description: Bacterial large subunit ribosomal RNA
Rfam family: Bacterial large subunit ribosomal RNA
Source: Rfam by way of RNAcentral